Molecule: long non-coding RNA, 3408 nt
Filed under: Mus musculus (house mouse)
Lineage: Eukaryota; Metazoa; Chordata; Mammalia; Rodentia; Muridae
Description: long non-coding RNA chr2:62214844-62218252
Source: RNAcentral
UUUUGGCUCCUAUCAGACCUUCAAAGAAGAGCUAAUACUAACACUCCUCAAACUAUUCCUUAAAAUAGAAAGAGAAGGAACACUACAUAAUUCAUUCUAUGAAGCUACAGUUACUCUGAUACCUGAACAACACAAAGACCCAACAAAGAAAGAGAACUUACUGGAUAUUUCUGAGUAGUCUAAGUUGAUAAUUUUAUUUAAAAUAGUGAAGAAAUUUAUUUUUUGAGGCAGGGUUUCUCUGUGGCUAUCAUGCAUAGACAAAACUGGCCUCAAACUCAGAGAUUUACCUGGUCUCUGCCUCCCAAGUCUGAGAUUCAAGGUGUGUACCACCAUUCAUGGCUAUAAUGAAUUAAUUUAAAGGAAAAAAUUAUUUUCUAGGUAAUUCCUGUUAAAAUAACAAACAAGCAACUGAACAAAAAAUAAAACAUGCUAGUCUUAGAAAAUUCAAAAAGUAUGAAAUAGUAGACAAAAUCAUUUUUCUAUCUUGAUUUAUACUUCCUUCUUCAAGGGGUACCGGUAGUAAGAGUUCCUCAUGUAUCUUCGCCCCUCCUCCACUAAAUUUAAUACAAAUUAUUUCCUCUUUUCAGUUUAUAUAUUAUAGUGUUUACUUUGCUUUUUAUUUUAUAUGCUUAUAUUUUUUCUAUAUUAACCAUGCAAAAUUUAUACUAUCUUUUAAAUUAUGGCAUUAUACUAAAUAAUGUAAUUAAUUAUCCAGACUGGAUAAACAUUCAUGUUUGUCUCUUUUCCCCAAAAUCUGUGAUAAUGAUUAUUUAUACAUAUAUUUUUUAGUUUUACAUUAUAAUAUUAUAUUGUAGUUAUUUAUAUAGGGUAAAUUUUAAACAGUAGAAUUCUAUGUGCCAAAAUGGAGCUCAUUUUUCUUUCACUAAUUAUUUCAGUAAUUACAAAAUUACUGUUAUAAAUUUGAUAAAUUUAACCAUCCAAGAGUGUGUGAAAGCUUUCUUCCCCAAAAUCAUAGCUCAUGCUGUUUUUCUAUUUUAUACAUAAAACAUAUCAUAUUUUAAUUUUAUAUGAGAUUUUACAUAUUUUAUGUUUUAUUUUUCCUAUGUGCUAUUAUUCCAUUUACUCCGAAUGUCUUGUUUUUAUUUGUUUUUUUGAAUGAUUAGAAUUGACAGUGUGCUAUUUUUUUGUUACUGCCUUUAAUGAAAACUUUUUUCAUGAAUUAAUAAAUUUUACAUCUUUCCAACUGCAUCAAAAACAAUAGUAUAGCUCGACUUGGUGUUAUACACCUUUAAUUCCAGGAGAAAUAGUUUGAUCACUCUAAGCUUGAUUCUAAUCUGGUCUACAUAGUGAGUUUCAGGCAAACUAGGGAUACUUAAUGAAAAUAGUCCAACACCCCUCUCCAAACAACAACAAACAACAAUAACAAAAAUAUCAACAUCAAAAACCAAACAACAUGAUACAAAACCCAAAACAAACAAAAAACAAAAGAUCAGACUUUUCAAAAAUACAUGUGAUCAUCUUUAUUUAGCAACAGAAAAGCAUUAUAAGAUCAUCUCCACAAGACUGGGGCAUAACUUUGCUUUUGUACGUUUAAAACACUGAUAAUGGAAUAAAAGUGCACCCAUCCCUGUUAAAUGGUAGAGACAUCUGUCCUCUCCUGGCUACAGGACACAUGUUCCUAGUUAGCAAGAAAGGAGGGUUGGUAGAUGAGAUAGCUGUGCCUUAAAUUAGUUAAAGUAAAUCUCUUUCAUUUAUUGCUGAGAAGUACUCCUUGGUCAGAUUUUGUUUUUAGUUUAUGAGUUUCUAUCUGUGGAUAUACGGACAAAUGUUUAGAUUGUUUUAAAGAACUGUGGUUGUUUAGUAAAUCCGAGAUCUAUGAUUUCACUAGUACUGAUCAGUUGGCCAAGUUUCCAAAACCAAGGCCAGUUUCCCUCUUGUUGAGCAGGUCUUAAUUCUAAUUAGAAAGCCCUUGGUUACUGCUAACGUAUGCAUGCCACUACUACACUCUUAGAGUUAUUGUUUGUUAGAGUUUCAUUGCUUUCAACCUUUAUAAUAAAAAUGAGAAUUGAAAUUUAAAUCUAUGUUUUGUCUUGACUAGUACAUCAUUUUUAGAAUUUUUUACUUUGUAGAUCACAUAAUGAUCCAUUUCUUUGAUUCAAAAAUAUACUUAUAAAUUUCCCAGCCUCAAAGAGCUACGAAGUGGUAGAAGGAAUCUUAGAAACACCUUUCCUUCUGUCAGAGUUAAUCAGAUAGGAUUUCAACAUGUUCUAAUAAAACGACUUGAAUAAUGUGCUCACCCUAAAUGACCAGUGUGUUGCUCUGUUCAUCCAUAAAGAAUAAAAGAGAUGAUCUGGUUAAUUAUUAGCAUGCUCUGCUAAUGCUAGCUAGGACCCAUGUCUAUUGCUACACUUUUAGAGUCUUAAGCAUGGCACAGCUGUUUAAAGUUCAUGGAGACAUCUGAUGAACAAUCAAAAUAGGCAUUUAAGAGAAAGGUAGGUACAUUUUGGCUGAGAUGCAGUACUUCACAGAAAGCAGAAUGUACUUACUGGAGAUUUAAAUUUUAGUGAGUUUUAAAGUGACAGAAGUGCCUUUGGUUUUUUGCCAUUGUCCAUCUAAAAAUAAUUCGGAUUAAUUAAUUAAUACAUCUGAUUUUUCAAAUGCAAUUUAAUUCUAAUAAAUAAUUUGCAUAUACUUUGCACUGUUUCUUUUGUUAGUAUUUUUGUGGGAUUAGUAGAUUUUUACUCUAAUAGUAAAAAUAAAAAUGAUAUUUUUGUUAUUUUUGACAAGCAAAACGAGCAAAGUUUUAGAUUUUGAAGUUACUAUUUUUGAUCUUAUCUACAUAAUAAAUGUUUGUGCAAAACAGCUGUUCUGUUUAAACCCCUAAAAGAAAUAUAUGAAGAGACUACUGAAAUAACAAAAUUACAAUGUCCCACUUAAAAAUAAGAAGUCUCUCUUAAAAAGAGCAUAGAAAGCGAGCACAACUCCCAAAGCUACGAGAUGGUCCAGGCAGUGUGCUUUAUUCGCUAUGCUUGCCAUUUCAAAUGUUUUCUACAAUUGAGUUCAAAAGGGCCAAGUAGGGAUUAGUAAAGAUGUUGAUAGUUAGAGGUAGCACAGAAAAGUGUUAGUACACCAAAACAAUCUUAUUGAUGCUACAAAAGCAUUUGGGCGUCAAGAUUAGUAUAUAGUCACAUCAACUGAACUCUUCAAUAGACUGCAAAUGCAAAGACCAUAUGAAUUAAGACAAACCAAAAAAUGUACAUGCAAGUAACAUUAUACAUGCUGAGCAGAUUAUAUUUGUCUUAAACGCGUUCUCACGACCGGCCAGGAAGGACGCAACAAACCGGAAUCUUCUGCGGCAAAAGCUUUAUUGCUUACAUCUUCAGGAGCCAGAGAGCAAGAGAGCAAGAGCCAGAGCAAGAGAGAGAAAAAGAACAAGAACAAGAAAGC